UUUGUGGUGAAUGUUGUCUGGUUCAAGGCAUGGCCACCACAUCUCUUGGUGAAUAUAUGUCCUCGGACCAGGCUUCAUUCCCCUCAAU
This is a non-coding RNA of Populus trichocarpa (black cottonwood), 88 nucleotides long. Lineage: Eukaryota; Viridiplantae; Streptophyta; Magnoliopsida; Malpighiales; Salicaceae. The record is from Rfam.